CCUACGUGGAUAACUGUGGUAAUUCUAGAGCUAAUACAUGCACCAAAGCUCCGAAUUUUUGACGAGCGCAUCUAUUAGAUUAAAACCAAUCGGGUUUCGGCCCGUUUGUUGGUGACUCUGAAUAACUAUGGCUGAUCGCAUGGUCUAGAACCGGCGACGUGUCUAUCAAGUGUCUGCCUUAUCAACUGUCGAUGGUAGUUUAUGUGCCUACCAUGGUUGUAACGGGUAACGGAGAAUAAGGGUUCGACUCCGGAGAGGGAGCCUGAGAAACGGCUACCACAUCCAAGGAAGGCAGCAGGCGCGCAAAUUACCCACUCUCGGCAUGAGGAGGUAGUGACGAAAAAUAACGAGACCGUUCUCUAUGAGGCCGGUUAUCGGAAUGGGUACAAUUUAAACCCGUUAACGAGGAUCUAUGAGAGGGCAAGUCUGGUGCCAGCAGCCGCGGUAAUUCCAGCUCUCAAAGUGUAUAUCGUCAUUGCUGCGGUUAAAAAGCUCGUAGUUGGAUCUGCGCCUCAGGACCUGGUCCGCCCACUGGGUGAGAACUGGGCUCCUGGGCUAGUUCUGCUGGUUUUCCCUGCGUUGCCUUCAUCGGUAGCGUAGGGUGGCUAGCGAGUUUACUUUGAAAAAAUUAGAGUGCUUCACGCGGGCUUAUGUCUGAAUACUCGUGCAUGGAAUAAUAGAAUAGGAUCUCGGCUCUAUUUUGUUGGUUUUCUGAUCUGAGAUAAUGGUUAAGAGGGACGGACGGGGGCAUUCGUAUCGCUGCGUGAGAGGUGAAAUUCUUGGACCGUAGCGAGACGUCCGACUGCGAAAGCAUUUGCCAAGAAUGUCUUCAUUAAUCAAGAACGAAAGUCAGAGGUUCGA
RNAcentral lists this ribosomal RNA (861 nucleotides) under Hysterothylacium aduncum. RNAcentral describes it as "SSU rRNA". It matches the Rfam family "Eukaryotic small subunit ribosomal RNA", at positions 134 to 1001 of the family's 1831-position model. Lineage: Eukaryota; Metazoa; Nematoda; Chromadorea; Rhabditida; Raphidascarididae. The record is from RNAcentral.